CACCGGAACCUAGACCCUGCUCCCCGAGUGUGGGCUCGCCGGGCGGGAGGAACCUGCAGGUGGGGCUAGGUGAGGAGGACGUGCGCGCGGGUGGGCGCACUGCCUCGUGGCAUUCCUCCUGUGGCGGUGCACAGGUGACAGACAGCUGGGCGACCUGGAGGGCAGCUUUUUCUGGAUGGUUUGGUCUGGGGAUUCUUCGUGUGCCUGACACUUCCACGACAAGCCUUCCAAGCCAGAGGGGCCACAGUUGAGCAGCUCAGUUUUAAGCGUGAUGAACAUCCUUUUAUUCUCCAUUCCUGAUUUCAAAAAUGAACGCCUUCUUGGAAAAACCCCAACAGAGAGAGGACUGUAAUGGAGACCCAGGAGCCCUUAGAGGCAAUGCUGCUGACACGUUUCCCUUCUCCAGAUCCAAGUGCGAUUGACAAAGACACACAUUUAAACGUAAAAUAAAAAUAAAUGGGGUA
This is a non-coding RNA of Callorhinus ursinus (northern fur seal), 464 nucleotides long. The record is from RefSeq and is a predicted model, not a curated record. NCBI's taxonomy places the organism in Eukaryota, Metazoa, Chordata, Mammalia, Carnivora, Otariidae.